UCAGGGUGCAAUGCAACAACACAGCACCAGCCCAAGAUUCAAAGGCAGCGCGAGAAGCAGGGAGACAACUGGGGUUCCUGCAACAAUGUAAGUGUACUAUAUUAUCUACAUGGCGAGGGUCCCAAAGUCUGUGUGUGCGCAUCAAUCGUCUUUCUAAUACUCACACCUAAUCCCUAUACUGUGUUUGUGUACAAAAUAGAUUCGGGGACAUGGCGACAGCCCAGGAGUCUGCAGAUUACGUGAAUGCAUUCAAUGGUGACGACGACCUUGGGUUUAUCCCGGCAAUAGCGUGGACGGACAAUGGCAACAGAAGCAGCAAUGAGCAACACGUACCAAGUCCCGACAAUGUGUUGUCAUCGACAUCAUCACAUAACGGAGAAACUGUCACGGUCCAUGGGUACUACAACAACAACGCCACCGACAACAACCCGAUAAUAUACAGCAACUCCGCUUGGUCAGAUCGUAAAGACGACACCGUCGCAAUACACGCUGUGGGAUCCAAGCCAGCCUCGGUCGAGCUCAGCUGUACCAAAGAACAAAAGGACACGAUGCUAGUAGGACAACACGCAGCAGUAGAUACCUUAUACUACGAACGCGUGUCGCCUGUUAGUACGCCUGCUGUACCGCCGCCGCCGCCGACACGCCACACAAACCUGGAUGACGGCGAGUACCCUAACCCUAACCCACUCCAGUCUAUACUUGAGAUAGUUUCCAAAGCUGUGAAAUGUACAGUGUGCCAAUGUACGUUCAACGCCACUGUGCUCUGUGUCGACUACGCGAUUAAGCUAAACAGACCCCUGCAGUGUGCCUGCGGUUGUGUCAUAUGCUCUGUGUGCUACACGAAAUACAAGGGGUGCGCUAUACACAAAGUGCAGUCGAGGCGCGCUACUGUCAAUGUCACUGUCAACCAGCUAGCUAGCGUGGCAGACGCGAAGUGGGAUCUAGAGCUAGACCAAACGGCUGCUUUCAGGACCGAAGGGGAUAAAGGCGUGCAGACGAUCAUGCAUCUACAUAGCAGUGCUCCGACUGUGGACGAAUUGAGAAAUGCUUUCGAGAGAUUAAUCGACAACCAAGACGAGAUGGCUUUCAAGUACUGGCUGAACUCGCCUUUGCCGGAGGCGAUGGCCUACAGAUUUGUGUGCAUGCCACACAUUCCGGGCUUUUGGGAUCACAUCGCCGUGGGUUGCCACACGCCUAACACACAACUCAUGUUGUCGCCCGACGUGUACACGCCACGACUGUUCGAGGUGAACAUGGGCAGUCUACAUUUCCACUGGUGCUGUUUUGUGUUUGUCGACCAGACUAUACUGGCCGUGUGGUGCUCAAGGCAAACCAACACUAGUUUGCCAGAAGUUCUGCCUAUCACAGACAGAACGGACCCGAGAGUACGCCAGUUGACGUCGUCUAAUGGGUUCAACUCGAUGCUAUAUUAUCUACACAGAUGGAUCCGCGUACACUACGGUAAAGGCGAUGCUGAUGUCGUUGAGGUUGUGUUUGACUGUAUGCCUUCCGAGAGCUCAACCUUUGUGCAUUUCAUCUCUACGCUGGCAGCUAAAAGUUCAGCCUCGUCUGUGUUCUCGCCUGCGAUUACACAACACAGAACGGAGACAGACUUACAUUACACCAUCGACCACAGAUACCCAGAGCAACUAUUCAGUCACCCUCCAAAUGAUUUAGACGGGGGCGUCAAAAUUGACAUCAGACAAGAGUUUGGAUCUCACCACGAAGUGGGAUUUGAAAUGCUACCGAAGCUUUACUUUACUAACAACGACCACAGGGCAUACACUUGACACUUCUGUUACACAGAAAAAGUGUUGUGAAACCAUGAAGCUAAGUCUUUCUCACUGUACUUUUUUUUGUAUUCAUGUUUUUAAUAUGUUUUUCGAUAUACAUGCACACGUGUUGUAACCACGAAGUCUUUUUUACUAAUGUGUAUCUGGUAUAAACGAUGAAGGUAAAUGCUACACUGAAGGGAAUGUGUCUCAAGGGAAGCACAUGUGUUGUAACCACGAAGUCUUUCUUACCAAUGUGUAUCUGGUAUAAACGAUAAAGGUAAAUGCUACACUGAAGGGAAUGUGUCUCAAGGGAAGCACAUGAGUUGUAACCAUGAAGUCUUUCUUACCAAUGUGUAUCUGGUAUAAACGAUAAAGGUAAAUGCUACACUGAAGGGAAUGUGUCUCAAGGGAAUGUGUCUCACUUGGUGCCUAAAGCGUUAUGUGCAAACGCGUAUGUUAUUGGUACUGUGUCUCAUAUUGUAAUCGUUUUGUUUUUAAUGCUCAUGUAAAGUGCAUUCUGGUUUGCUGAAGGGCACCUGUGGAGUUUUUGGUGCUUAUACACUUAUGUCUUUUUUUGUGAUAAAUAAUCAAAGUGUAAUCUACAAA
This 2381-nucleotide long non-coding RNA is filed under the name Oreochromis niloticus (Nile tilapia). RNAcentral's name for it is "lncRNA (ENSONIG00000038674.1)". Lineage: Eukaryota; Metazoa; Chordata; Actinopteri; Cichliformes; Cichlidae. The record is from RNAcentral.